This 252-nucleotide ribosomal RNA is filed under the name uncultured Bacteroidales bacterium. RNAcentral describes it as "partial 16S ribosomal RNA". It matches the Rfam family "Bacterial small subunit ribosomal RNA", at positions 524 to 776 of the family's 1533-position model. Lineage: Bacteria; Pseudomonadati; Bacteroidota; Bacteroidia; Bacteroidales. The record is from RNAcentral.
UACGGAGGAUGCGAGCGUUAUCCGGAUUUAUUGGGUUUAAAGGGUGCGCAGGCGGGCUGUUAAGCCGGCGGUAAAAAUUCAGGGCUCAACCCUGUCGAGCCGUCGGAACUGGCAGUCUUGAGUGGGCGAGAAGUAUGCGGAAUGCGUGGUGUAGCGGUGAAAUGCGUAGAUAUUAGGAGGAACACCAGUGGCGGAGGCGGCUUACUGGACGGUAACUGACGCUGAGGCUCGAAAGCGUGGGGAGCAAACAGG